CCCAGGACUUCAAAGGACUACAACGAACACAACAAUGACAAAGUAGCCCUGAACUGUGUGACGUGAUCAUGACCAACACGUCAGUACAUGGUGACCAAUGAAAUUCUACCGUGUGCGUGCGGGGUGCUGGGGUGAGUGUGGGGUGUGCAGCUCCAGACUGAGAUUCUUGGAGCUCUUCUGCUGGCUGCAAAGUCACGGAAUAGAUUUUAGUUACGUGUGCCCUUUGUGUGCCUCUGAAUGAGACACCGGAGAGGCCAGCCGGCUUUCUCUGUACUCCAUUUUCCAUGAGCUUGCACACCGGGCCAAACAUGACAAGCGGCAAUGCUCAGAAUGGAACUCAAGACAUCAUGAGCCGGGUGUCUGUUUUCGGGAAAGGAAACAAAUCUCAAUUACUUGGGGCAAUUAAGGGGAAGGGGAAAAGGACCGUUCACUGUAGAUGUAGCCUUGGAGCAAAGGAAAAUUAUUUGAGAUGAAGAAGAGUCACAUGGUAUGGUGAGUGUUGCUAAUUGAGUUGGAGCAGAGAAAGAAUACUUAUCAAGUCAGAUGAAGGUAGGCACAAGCAUUAAAAAAACCUCAUUGGUAAAUGUCUAAUAGUGACAAAUUUUCAGGGAAGAAUGACUUUUUGUAUUGAGCUCUUGUUUACUGUACAAGUGGUCCUUAAGUCAUUCAAAGGAGAAGAAAUGAAUUGUCUACCUUAAGCAUAUAAGACCUGUGUAGAUAUGUUAGGUAUUUUUUGCAUUCUCCUAAUAAAUAGCAAAGUUUAUUUUUCUUGUUUUUAAAAGUAGUGUCAAAUAGACAUAGUGCCAGACUAAAAUCAUAAAUUAAAUCUUGUUCAAUUUUCUCUUUUUUGCUAAAUUUAACAGUCUCCAAUCCUAAAAAGUAACUCUCCUAUAGACAAUACCCCUGGUCAUUAUUCAUUUGCAUUUCUUCAUGAUGUAUCCUUUCUCACAGAACGGGGUAAGAGGAUUCAUGAACAUUCACAAAGUCUUUCAGAGAAAUGUUACCAAAGAGUAAAUUACAUCCAGGUGAUUCCCCUAGCCCAAGUGAAUAUAAAUAAAUGACAAAUAAAUGCAAGGGCCUUUGAUGGAAAAAUUAUUUAAAAGAACUUUAUAACUGAAAUUAAGGCAUUUAAUUACAUGUUAAAUGCCACUGAUUUUUUUUUUUUCUUGAAUUACUGCGAUUUCAAGGCAGCUUAACAAGAAAGAGAACAAGUUUGGAAAUAUUCAUGUAUUGGCCAUCAGGGGUCUAAGCAUGAAUUAAAGCAUUGUAAGAGUUGUUGGGGAUUUUACAUGCCCAGGAAGCAAACAGCCACAGAAACAAAGAUAAACCAUUACCUAGCUUUGCGAUCAUAACCACUGCUCUCAUAAAUCUCCAAAUUAGUUGAUGAAUUAUUUUUUUCAAGAAAUGAAUGUAUGGCUUUCAGCUGCUAAAUAUUGGCUGUUUCUGAAAUGGUUCUACUAAGAUAAAUGGAAGCUUUAGUCUUCUUGCUACUUGUUUAAGGCUCCUUUGCAUUUUUCCUUCACAGCAGCCAUGUUUCAUUGCCAGGAAAGUUAUGCAAUUUGAGCCAAGCUACCUUUUACUCCCAGUAAAUCAAUAUGUGUCAGAAAAGCCGAAGAGAAUGUAAUAUCACUCACUAUCACAGGACAUUCCCUUAGAGCAGUUCCCAGAAGACACUGCUGGGUUCAGUUGCUAUAGUAACACAGCUCUAGUGCCUUUCUUCCUUGGCUUGUGGUGGUGAGUUGAUUUUUACCACCCAGGUAUAAUUCUGAAGAAUGUUUAUGGCAAAGAGAAAAGCACACAGAGUCAAUAACAAUGUGUGCGACCUUUCUAUUGAUCUGGAAUGAUUUAAUCCCAAAGUAGUAAAUAGAAGGUUAUUCCAUAACAAUGCAAAUCCCUGUGCUGAGUUCCAGUUAAAUUAUUCAUUGUCAUUUCUUUGGGCCCUUCAAGUAGUCAAAUUCUUCAAACUGUGCAAAAAUGUCUUUAAGCUAUGGGAGUGUGAGUGUCAAAUCACACUUAGUUUUACUGAAAUGUGGGGGCCUGCUUGAAAAUGUCCUGAAGUAAUACUAAUUCACUUAAAAAUAUCUGUAAUCAUCAAAAUGCAGUGAGACUAGAAUGCAAAUAAGGGAGAAUUGUCUUCUGUGCCUUUCAGUAAAAAGAUAUAAGAACAGCUAACAAUAUAUUUUAAAUUAUAUAUAAAGUCCUAGUUGGUUGUGAAUGUUAAAUGAGAUAGACAACAUAAAGAAUUUGGACAGCACCUAACAUACAGAGGACACCUCCCAAAUAUUAUUAUGAUUGUUAUCACUUCAUAAUAGAGACAGAAGAUGUAUUACUUCCCUGUCUUUAUGGUAGGCAAUUGUAUUACUGUCCUUUGUUUUCUGAAUAACUUAAUGAAAAAAUGUUAUAAGAGUGACUUUAUGAUAGUCAGACCUUCAACAUGAUAUAACAAACCCUUUUGAGAAGAAUAAUCUUUAGAUUAAUCGUUAGCAUUUAACGGACUUGACACAAGAGGAAGCUUGGUAUGUAAUGUGUUGUAGGUUAGAGAGUCAUGACUGCAAAUAUCAUAUCACUUACUGGAGACUUUAAAUUCUUAAGACUUUAUUUUUCACUACCUAUAAGAAAAGAGCAAAAAUAAUAUCCUCACAAUAUGGUAGAGAGAAGUCUGUCAGAGAAGGUACAUAAAGUACCUGGUAAAACGUUAGCAAAAAUAGCCUUUAUUAAAUUUUAGUUGUCUU
Fukomys damarensis (Damara mole-rat) is the source of this 2732-nucleotide long non-coding RNA. The record is from Ensembl. NCBI's taxonomy places the organism in Eukaryota, Metazoa, Chordata, Mammalia, Rodentia, Bathyergidae.